ACUUUUACAAAAAUCUUCUCCUCUGAAACUACUGGGCCAAAUUAAACCAAACUUGGCCACAAUCAUCAUUGGGGUAUCUAGUUUAAAAAUUGUGUCCGGUGACCCGGUCAACCAACCAAGAUGGCCGCCAUGGCUAAAAAUAGAACAUAGGGGUAAAAUGCAGUUUUUGGCUUAUAACUCAGAAACCAAAGCAUUUAAAGCAAAUCUGACAUGGGGGUUAAAUUGUUUGUCAGGUCAAGAUCUAUCUGCCUUGAAAAUUUCAGAUGAAUCGGUCAACCCAUUGUUGGGUUGCUGCCCCUGAAUUGGUAAUUUUAAGGAAAUUUUGCUGUUUUUGGUUAUUAUCUUGAAUAAUAUUAUAGAUAGAGAUAAACUGUAAACAACAAUAAUGUUCAGCAAAAUAAGAUUUACAAAUAAGUCUAUACUACCGAAAUGGUCAGUUGACCCCUUUAGGAGUUAUUGCCCUUUAUAGUCAAUUUUUAACCAUAUUUUGUAAAUCUGAGUAAUCCUUUACAAAAAUCUUCUCCUCUGAAACAACUGGGCCAAAUUAAACCAAACUUGGCCACAAUCAUCAUUGGGUAUCUAGUUUUAAAAAAUUGUGUCCAGUGACUCGGUCAACCAACCAAGAUGGCCGCCAUGGCUAAAAAUAGAUAAUAGGGGUAAAAUGCAGUUUUUGGCUUAUAACUCAAAAACCAAAGCAUUAAGAGCAAAUCUGACGGAGUUAAAUUGUAAAUCAGGUCAAGAUCUAUCUGCCUUGAAAAUUUCAGAUGAAUCGAACAACCCGUUGUAGGGUUGCUGCCCCUGAAUUGGUAAUUUUAAGGAAAUUUUGCUGUUUUU
Molecule: long non-coding RNA, 834 nt
Filed under: Mytilus galloprovincialis (Mediterranean mussel)
Lineage: Eukaryota; Metazoa; Mollusca; Bivalvia; Mytilida; Mytilidae
Source: RNAcentral